Molecule: ribosomal RNA, 1018 nt
Filed under: Eudoraea sp.
Lineage: Bacteria; Pseudomonadati; Bacteroidota; Flavobacteriia; Flavobacteriales; Flavobacteriaceae
Description: bacterial SSU rRNA
Rfam family: Bacterial small subunit ribosomal RNA
Source: RNAcentral
CAUGCAAGUCGGACGGUAACAGGGAUUGCUUGCAAUCCGCUGACGAGUGGCGCACGGGUGCGCAACGCGUAUAGAACCUACCCUUUACAGGGGGAUAGCCCAGAGAAAUUUGGAUUAAUACCCCGUAGUACCUAUUAGAGGCAUUUCUAAUAGGUUAUAGUUUUCGAACGGUAAAGGAUGGCUAUGCGUCUUAUUAGCUAGUAGGUAAGGUAACGGCUUACCUAGGCUACGAUAAGUAGGGGCCCUGAGAGGGGGAUCCCCCACACUGGUACUGAGACACGGACCAGACUCCUACGGGAGGCAGCAGUGAGGAAUAUUGGACAAUGGGCGGAAGCCUGAUCCAGCCAUGCCGCGUGCAGGAAGACGGCCCUAUGGGUUGUAAACUGCUUUUAUACGGGAAGAAUAAGGGAUACGUGUAUCCUGGUGACGGUACCGUAAGAAUAAGGACCGGCUAACUCCGUGCCAGCAGCCGCGGUAAUACGGAGGGUCCGAGCGUUAUCCGGAAUUAUUGGGUUUAAAGGGUCCGCAGGCGGGCAAUUAAGUCAGAGGUGAAAUGGUGCGGCUCAACCGUAGCACUGCCUUUGAUACUGGUUGUCUUGAGUCAUGGUGGAGUGGCCGGAAUAUGUAGUGUAGCGGUGAAAUGCAUAGAUAUUACAUAGAACACCGAUCGCGAAGGCAGGUCACUAACCAUGUACUGACGCUGAUGGACGAAAGCGUGGGGAGCGAACGGGAUUAGAUACCCCGGUAGUCCACGCCGUAAACGAUGGAUACUAGCUGUCCGCUGCCUUGAGCAGUGGGCGGCCAAGCGAAAGUGAUAAGUAUCCCACCUGGGGAGUACGUUCGCAAGAAUGAAACUCAAAGGAAUUGACGGGGGCCCGCACAAGCGGUGGAGCAUGUGGUUUAAUUCGAUGAUACGCGAGGAACCUUACCAGGGCUUAAAUGCAGAAUGACAGGUUUAGAGAUAGACUUUUCUUCGGACAUUUUGCAAGGUGCUGCAUGGUUGUCGUCAGCUCGUGCC